GGGGUAAGCCUUAGGAGUUUUAUAUAAAAAGCCAAUUGCAUUUCGACGCCAAUUCCUCACUCCUCUCUUUCUCUCUCACACACACACACACCCAAACUCUCUCUUUUCUCCCCUUCCAUUUUUCCUUUCUCCCCAAACACCUCUUAUUUUCCCGGGAAUCUUAUUAUUUUCUCGGGAAAAUCACCCCUCCUUCUUUCAAUGCUUCUUCUUCUUCCUUAAAACACCAAACCCACAAAAAC
Molecule: long non-coding RNA, 239 nt
Filed under: Cucumis sativus (cucumber)
Lineage: Eukaryota; Viridiplantae; Streptophyta; Magnoliopsida; Cucurbitales; Cucurbitaceae
Description: long non-coding RNA (CSAT_LNC000541)
Source: RNAcentral